UACGGAGGGUGCGAGCGUUGUUCGGAAUUAUUGGGCGUAAAGCGCGUGUAGGCGGCUCCUUAAGUCUGAUGUGAAAGCCCCGGGCUCAACCUGGGAAGUGCAUUGGAAACUGGGGAACUUGAAUACGGGAGAGGGUAGUGGAAUUCCUGGUGUAGGAGUGAAAUCCGUAGAUAUCAGGAGGAACACCGGUGGCGAAGGCGGCUGCCUGGACCGAUAUUGACGCUGAGGCGCGAAAGCCAGGGGAGCAAACGGG
RNAcentral lists this ribosomal RNA (253 nucleotides) under uncultured bacterium. Its description in RNAcentral is "partial 16S ribosomal RNA". It matches the Rfam family "Bacterial small subunit ribosomal RNA", at positions 524 to 776 of the family's 1533-position model. The record is from RNAcentral.